AGCUUUUCGCAGUGGCAGUAUCGUAGCCAAUGAGGUUUAUCCGAGGCGCGAUUAUUGCUAAUUGAAAAAAAAAAAAAGAAAGUCCC
This 86-nucleotide small nuclear RNA is filed under the name Bos grunniens (domestic yak). RNAcentral's name for it is "U4 spliceosomal RNA (ENSBGRG00000004397.1)". It matches the Rfam family "U4 spliceosomal RNA", at positions 1 to 85 of the family's 138-position model. From Rfam's summary of the family: U4 small nuclear RNA (U4 snRNA) is a component of the major U2-dependent spliceosome. The structure of U4 snRNA from yeast and human has been reported. The record is from RNAcentral. Lineage: Eukaryota; Metazoa; Chordata; Mammalia; Artiodactyla; Bovidae.